UUACGGGAGGCAGCAGUGAGGAAUAUUGGUCAAUGGACGCAAGUCUGAACCAGCCAUGCCGCGUGCAGGAAGACUGCCCUAUGGGUUGUAAACUGCUUUUGUACGGGAAGAACCCCUAGUUCGUGAACUAGGCUGACGGUACCGUAAGAAUAAGGAUCGGCUAACUCCGUGCCAGCAGCCGCGGUAAUACGGAGGAUCCAAGCGUUAUCCGGAUUUAUUGGGUUUAAAGGGUGUGUAGGCGGAAUAAUAAGUCAGAGGUGAAAUCCUGUAGCUCAACUACAGAACUGCCUUUGGUACUGUUGUUCUUGAAUACAGUUGAGGUAGGCGGAAUGUGUCAUGUAGCGGUGAAAUGCUUAGAUAUGACACAGAACACCGAUUGCGUAGGCAGCUUGCUAAACUGUGAUUGACGCUGAGGCACGAAAGCGUGGGGAUCAAACAGGAUUAGAAACCCUUGUAGUCCG
Molecule: ribosomal RNA, 461 nt
Filed under: uncultured bacterium
Lineage: Bacteria
Description: bacterial SSU rRNA
Rfam family: Bacterial small subunit ribosomal RNA
Source: RNAcentral